This 206-nucleotide long non-coding RNA is filed under the name Carica papaya (papaya). Its description in RNAcentral is "long non-coding RNA (CPAP_LNC005874)". The record is from RNAcentral. Lineage: Eukaryota; Viridiplantae; Streptophyta; Magnoliopsida; Brassicales; Caricaceae.
UUCGCGUAGUAGGCUUGUGCGGAUAGGCCUUGUGGACCUGAGGCCUACAGGAAGUAGACAUGCAUGUGCGGCAGUAGGUCUGCAAUGCACCAAUCGGGCACUACCACCUCGGGCAGUGCGCCGUCACUACCUUAGGCAGAGCGCCACCGCCACCGGUGGAGGAAAUAUUUCUCCUUCGUUUUUUGCACAAAGAAUAUUUUUUUCCU